UCCCUGGUCGUCCAGUGGGUAAGACUCUGCACUCCUAAUGCAGAGGUCCCAGGUUUGAACCCUGGUCGGGGAA
Molecule: non-coding RNA, 73 nt
Organism: Balaenoptera acutorostrata (minke whale)
Lineage: Eukaryota; Metazoa; Chordata; Mammalia; Artiodactyla; Balaenopteridae
Source: the annotation of a RefSeq genome assembly